UACGAAGGGGGCUAGCGUUGCUCGGAAUCAUUGGGCGUAAAGCGCACGUAGGCGGAUUGUUAAGUCAGGGGUGAAAUCCUGGAGCUCAACUCCAGAACUGCCUUUGAUACUGGCGAUCUCGAGUCCGGGAGAGGUGAGUGGAACUGCGAGUGUAGAGGUGAAAUUCGUAGAUAUUCGCAAGAACACCAGUGGCGAAGGCGGCUCACUGGCCCGAUACUGACGCUGAGGCACGAAAGCGUGGGGAGCAAACAGG
Molecule: ribosomal RNA, 253 nt
Filed under: uncultured bacterium
Lineage: Bacteria
Description: partial 16S ribosomal RNA
Rfam family: Bacterial small subunit ribosomal RNA
Source: RNAcentral